AUUGAACGCUGGCGGCAGGCUUAACACAUGCAAGUCGAGCGGGGGAAGGUAGCUUGCUACUGGACCUAGCGGCGGACGGGUGAGUAAUGCUUAGGAAUCUGCCUAUUAGUGGGGGACAACAUCUCGAAAGGGAUGCUAAUACCGCAUACGUCAUACGGGCGAAAGCAGGGGAUCUUCGGACCUUGCGCUAAUAGAUGAGCCUAAGUCGGAUUAGCUAGUUGGUGGGGUAAAGGCCUACCAAGGCGACGAUCUGUAGAGGGUCUGAGAGGAUGAUCCGCCACACUGGGACUGAGACACGGCCCAGACUCCUACGGGAGGCAGCAGUGGGGAAUAUUGGACAAUGGGGGGAACCCUGAUCCAGCCAUGCCGCGUGUGUGAAGAAGGCCUUAUGGUUGUAAAGCACUUUAAGCGAGGAGGAGGCUACUCUAGUUAAUACCUAGGGAUAGUGGACGUUACUCGCAGAAUAAGCACCGGCUAACUCUGUGCCAGCCGCCGCAGUAA
This 501-nucleotide ribosomal RNA is filed under the name uncultured bacterium. Its description in RNAcentral is "partial 16S ribosomal RNA". It matches the Rfam family "Bacterial small subunit ribosomal RNA", at positions 30 to 523 of the family's 1533-position model. The record is from RNAcentral.